This is a non-coding RNA of Schistosoma rodhaini, 45 nucleotides long. The record is from Rfam. NCBI's taxonomy places the organism in Eukaryota, Metazoa, Platyhelminthes, Trematoda, Strigeidida, Schistosomatidae.
AUCUAGCUGACGAGUCCAAAAUAGGACGAAAAGCACGUCAUGCGU